RNAcentral lists this ribosomal RNA (253 nucleotides) under uncultured bacterium. RNAcentral's name for it is "partial 16S ribosomal RNA". It matches the Rfam family "Bacterial small subunit ribosomal RNA", at positions 524 to 776 of the family's 1533-position model. The record is from RNAcentral.
UACGAAGGGAGCUAGCGUUGUUCGGAAUCACUGGGCGUAAAGCGCACGUAGGCGGAUGUGUCAGUCAGGGGUGAAAUCCCGGAGCUCAACUUCGGAACUGCCUUUGAUACAGCACGUCUUGAGUCCGGAAGAGGUGGGUGGAAUUCCUGGUGUAGCGGUGAAAUGCGCAGAUAUCAGGAAGAACACCUAUGGCGAAGGCAGCUCUCUGGGACGGUACUGACGCUGAGACGCGAAAGCGUGGGGAGCGAACAGG